AAAGAAUCUAUGAAAUGUCGAGAUCCUUAUAUGAAUGCUAUGCUAUUAGAUUCAGUGGACAAAGAUGGAUUUGGAAAAGAAAAGAAUACAUAAAAACCUUUAUGGUGUCUUCAUGACUAUUUGUAUCCUACAAAAAAAUCAUGCGCACUUUCCGCAAGUACAGUCAUAUGGGGGUUAUACGAAGACGUAGACCUGCACAGUCAAUUUUCUGUCUAAGCUGCAGUAUCCCUUUGGAACUUCAAAUACCAAAUUUGAAACAAUUUCAGUAACCGCUUCUACGAAACGACUCCGCUUCUUUGCUGAUACCAACACCUAUAUCUGCCGGCUACAUUGUCCAUGCUGCCGAAUGAAUAGUCCAUCGUUGCAGACUGUCAUCAUCCCUAUAGAAAAGGAUUUACAAUGGUUUUAUGGUAUGCUUUGGCUUGUCGCCAUCUGUUUUCACGGCCAUUGACGAUUUGCUAAUGAUUUUUUCCUAAUAACACCCUUCCAGAACCAGAGAAAUUGGCUUUUCCUACUUCUUCGAUGCAUUCGGUAUUUUAAUGAUUUUAGCUACAUUAUAAACUGAUUUCUCUUCAAGUUUCGCAUUUAAAUAUUGUAAUAACUUAUGACAAAAGUUGCCUAUGCAGGCCACGUCGUCGUAGAAGAAUUCGGUAUUCUUAAGAUUUUAACAGAAUUUUUAACGGAUUUUAUUUUUUGGAAAUUGCCAAAUUUGUACCAUAUGGUGGAGGGUAUUAAAAGUCCGGCCCGGCCAAACUUACAGCUUUUUUACUUGUUUAUUUUAGUGACAUUAUUCACCGGAAUUUUUCUAAUUUUGUAUUUGAAAUUCGUAAUGAGUACUACAAUCUGUGACAGAAAAUUGUCUGUGCA
Molecule: long non-coding RNA, 867 nt
Organism: Musca domestica (house fly)
Lineage: Eukaryota; Metazoa; Arthropoda; Insecta; Diptera; Muscidae
Exons: 3
Source: RefSeq, a predicted model, not a curated record